GGGUUGUGAGGUUAAGCGACUAAGCGUACACGGUGGAUGCCCUGGCAGUCAGAGGCGAUGAAGGACGUGCUAAUCUGCGAAAAGCGUCGGUAAGGUGAUAUGAACCGUUAUAACCGGCGAUGUCCGAAUGGGGAAACCCAGUGCAAUUCGUUGCACUAUCGUUAACUGAAUACAUAGGUUAACGAGGCGAACCGGGGGAACUGAAACAUCUAAGUACCCCGAGGAAAAGAAAUCAACCGAGAUUCCCCCAGUAGCGGCGAGCGAACGGGGAGCAGCCCAGAGUCUGAAUCAGCUUGUGUGUUAGUGGAACGGUCUGGAAAGUCCGACGGUACAGGGUGAUAGUCCCGUACACCAAAAUGCACAGGUUGUGAACUCGAAGAGUAGGGCGGGACACGUGGUAUCCUGUCUGAAUAUGGGGGACCAUCCUCCAAGGCUAAAUACUCCUGACUGACCGAUAGUGAACCAGUACCGUGAGGGAAAGGCGAAAAGAACCCCGGCGAGGGGAGUGAAAAAGAACCUGAAACCGUGUACGUACAAGCAGUGGGAGCACCUUCGGGUGUGACUGCGUACCUUUUGUAUAAUGGGUCAGCGACUUAUAUUCUGUAGCAAGGUUAACCGUAUAGGGGAGCCGCAGGGAAACCGAGUCUUAACUGGGCGUUAAGUUGCAGGGUAUAGACCCGAAACCCGGUGAUCUAGCCAUGGGCAGGUUGAAGGUUGGGUAACACUAACUGGAGGACCGAACCGACUAAUGUUGAAAAAUUAGCGGAUGACUUGUGGCUGGGGGUGAAAGGCCAAUCAAACCGGGAGAUAGCUGGUUCUCCCCGAAAGCUAUUUAGGUAGCGCCUCGUGAAUUCAUCUUCGGGGGUAGAGCACUGUUUCGGCUAGGGGGUCAUCCCGACUUACCAACCCGAUGCAAACUACGAAUACCGAAGAAUGUUAUCACGGGAGACACACGGCGGGUGCUAACGUCCGUCGUGAAGAGGGAAACAACCCAGACCGCCAGCUAAGGUCCCAAAGUCAUGGUUAAGUGGGAAACGAUGUGGGAAGGCACAGACAGCCAGGAUGUUGGCUUAGAAGCAGCCAUCAUUUAAAGAAAGCGUAAUAGCUCACUGGUCGAGUCGGCCUGCGCGGAAGAUGUAACGGGGCUAAACCAUGCACCGAAGCUGCGGCAGCGACACUAUGUGUUGUUGGGUAGGGGAGCGUUCUGUAAGCCUGCGAAGGUGACCUGUGAGGGUUGCUGGAGGUAUCAGAAGUGCGAAUGCUGACAUAAGUAACGAUAAAGCGGGUGAAAAGCCCGCUCGCCGGAAGACCAAGGGUUCCUGUCCAACGUUAAUCGGGGCAGGGUGAGUCGACCCCUAAGGCGAGGCCGAAAGGCGUAGUCGAUGGGAAACAGGUUAAUAUUCCUGUACUUGGUGUUACUGCGAAGGGGGACGGAGAAGGCUAUGUUAGCCGGGCGACGGUUGUCCCGGUUUAAGCAUGUAGGCUGGUUGUCCAGGCAAAUCCGGAUAAUCAAGGCUGAGGUGUGAUGACGAGGCACUACGGUGCUGAAGUAACAAAUGCCCUGCUUCCAGGAAAAGCCUCUAAGCAUCAGGUAACAUCAAAUCGUACCCCAAACCGACACAGGUGGUCAGGUAGAGAAUACCAAGGCGCUUGAGAGAACUCGGGUGAAGGAACUAGGCAAAAUGGUGCCGUAACUUCGGGAGAAGGCACGCUGGUGUGUAGGUGAAGUCCCUGCGGAUGGAGCUGAGACCAGUCGAAGAUACCAGCUGGCUGCAACUGUUUAUUAAAAACACAGCACUGUGCAAACACGAAAGUGGACGUAUACGGUGUGACGCCUGCCCGGUGCCGGAAGGUUAAUUGAUGGGGUUAUCCGUAAGGAGAAGCUCUUGAUCGAAGCCCCGGUAAACGGCGGCCGUAACUAUAACGGUCCUAAGGUAGCGAAAUUCCUUGUCGGGUAAGUUCCGACCUGCACGAAUGGCGUAAUGAUGGCCAGGCUGUCUCCACCCGAGACUCAGUGAAAUUGAACUCGCUGUGAAGAUGCAGUGUACCCGCGGCAAGACGGAAAGACCCCGUGAACCUUUACUAUAGCUUGACACUGAACAUUGAGCCUUGAUGUGUAGGAUAGGUGGGAGGCUUUGAAGCGUGGACGCCAGUCUGCGUGGAGCCAACCUUGAAAUACCACCCUUUAAUGUUUGAUGUUCUAACGUUGGCCCCUUACCGGGGUUGCGGACAGUGUCUGGUGGGUAGUUUGACUGGGGCGGUCUCCUCCCAAAGCGUAACGGAGGAGCACGAAGGUUAGCUAAUCCUGGUCGGACAUCAGGAGGUUAGUGCAAUGGCAUAAGCUAGCUUGACUGCGAGCGUGACGGCGCGAGCAGGUGCGAAAGCAGGUCAUAGUGAUCCGGUGGUUCUGAAUGGAAGGGCCAUCGCUCAACGGAUAAAAGGUACUCCGGGGAUAACAGGCUGAUACCGCCCAAGAGUUCAUAUCGACGGCGGUGUUUGGCACCUCGAUGUCGGCUCAUCACAUCCUGGGGCUGAAGUAGGUCCCAAGGGUAUGGCUGUUCGCCAUUUAAAGUGGUACGCGAGCUGGGUUUAGAACGUCGUGAGACAGUUCGGUCCCUAUCUGCCGUGGGCGCUGGAGAAUUGAGGGGGGCUGCUCCUAGUACGAGAGGACCGGAGUGGACGCAUCACUGGUGUUCGGGUUGUCAUGCCAAUGGCACUGCCCGGUAGCUAAAUGCGGAAGAGAUAAGUGCUGAAAGCAUCUAAGCACGAAACUUGCCCCGAGAUGAGUUCUCCCUGAGACUUUAAGUCUCCUGAAGGAACGUUAAAGACGAUGACGUUGAUAGGCCGGGUGUGUAAGCGCAGCGAUGCGUUGAGCUAACCGGUACUAAUGAACCGUGAGGCUUAACCUUACAACGCCGAAG
This 2921-nucleotide ribosomal RNA is filed under the name Klebsiella pneumoniae. Its description in RNAcentral is "bacterial LSU rRNA". It matches the Rfam family "Bacterial large subunit ribosomal RNA". Lineage: Bacteria; Pseudomonadati; Pseudomonadota; Gammaproteobacteria; Enterobacterales; Enterobacteriaceae. The record is from RNAcentral.